UACGCACGGGCCCCAUCCUCUCUGCUUUGUAUAUUAAUUACAUUUUCACCCGGAGCUGAAGUUCCCUGGUCACUGAUCAGAGGGAGCUUAGCCUUCACCACAAUGCAAGCGCUGGAGGAGACCCCUGCAGACCAUUGCCCGUGCAGAUUCUUGCUACAAUGCACUAAAAAGAGGCAUGAAACAGGAAAUAUUAUGGGAUAAACUUCGCUGUGAACAAAAAGAAGCAAGAGAAACAUUUUACUGGGCGCACACUGGAACCAAAUGAAAUUGACGGACAUCCUUGGUUGUCCUCUGAUUCUGCCUGCCAGGUCAGCUAACGGGUGCCUCCACAAUAUAACUUCUUGACAUACUUGUACUGCUGCAAAAUAUUCUCCCGCUGUUGAAGAAAGGGUUAGAGACAAUUGCUUUUCUGCUAGUCCAGCACAUUGCUUGGUCCUGCCCUCCUUCUCUGAUUGGUCCACCGACGGUUCAUACUACAGUAUCAAUGGUUUUCCAUUGCUGUUUCCUGUCAUCGAUGGAAAGGUACUGAUGACAACAUCAAUGGUAACAUGACCACACACAUAAAUCGGGAAGAGACCCACGCUCCUGCACCUAUGGACAGAGUGAGGUGCCGUCAGAAGAGGUCAGAUCUGGCUAGCCGGAAACUGGGAUGACCUUCCUCAUAUUGAUAUUUGCUUCGUUGCCACAGAAAGACCGCCUAGUCCUUCAUCUCAUCUGGAUAUAGUUUCACAUGGGAACUGUACUUUUCUGACUGUCUUGUAACUAUU
This is a long non-coding RNA of Pseudophryne corroboree (corroboree frog), 767 nucleotides long. RefSeq lists it as uncharacterized. The record is from RefSeq and is a predicted model, not a curated record. The transcript has 4 exons. Lineage: Eukaryota; Metazoa; Chordata; Amphibia; Anura; Myobatrachidae.